UACGAAGGGUGCAAGCGUUACUCGGAAUUACUGGGCGUAAAGCGUGCGUAGGUGGUUUGUUAAGUCUGAUGUGAAAGCCCUGGGCUCAACCUGGGAAUUGCAUUGGAUACUGGCAGGCUAGAGUGCGGUAGAGGAUGGCGGAAUUCCCGGUGUAGCAGUGAAAUGCGUAGAGAUCGGGAGGAACAUCUGUGGCGAAGGCG
This 200-nucleotide ribosomal RNA is filed under the name uncultured bacterium. RNAcentral describes it as "partial 16S ribosomal RNA". It matches the Rfam family "Bacterial small subunit ribosomal RNA", at positions 524 to 723 of the family's 1533-position model. The record is from RNAcentral.